GACGAACGCUGGCGGCGUGCUUAAUACAUGCAAGUCGAACGGAAAGGCGCUGCUCUUGUGGCGUGCUCGAGAGGGGAACAGGUGAGUAAAACGCGAGUAACAUCCACUUAUCUUUGGGGUAACUCCAGGGAAAAGGGGCGAAUACAGGAUAGGAGAUCUUGCUGCAUGGGGGGGGUUGGUGAGAGACGGCGGUUGGGGCUGGACUAGAGGCUUAUCGGCUUGAUUGGGGGGUAGGUGAUGACAAAGGCUUUGACGGGUAGCCGGCCUGAGAGGGUGGCCGGCCACAUUGGUACUGAGGUACGCCCCAGUCUCCUACGGGACGCAGCAGUGGGGAAUAUUGCACAAUGGGCGGAAGCCUGAUGCAGCGACGCCGCGUGCGUGAUGACGGCCUUCGGGUUGUAAACCGCUUUCGCCUGUGACGAAGCGUGAGUGACGGUACUGGGUAAGGAAGCACCGGCUAACUACGUG
This 468-nucleotide ribosomal RNA is filed under the name uncultured bacterium. RNAcentral describes it as "partial 16S ribosomal RNA". It matches the Rfam family "Bacterial small subunit ribosomal RNA", at positions 28 to 507 of the family's 1533-position model. The record is from RNAcentral.